AAAACAUAGCUAUUUGAUAUAAUAAUUAGUUUAGUCUGCCCUAUGUUUUUUAUAAAUGGCCGCAGUACUUUGACUGUGCUAAGGUAGCAAAAUAAUUUGGCUUUUAAUUGAAGUCCGGAAUGAAAGACCAAACGGUUAGAAUCUGUUUCUUUUAAAGAGUAAUGAACUUACUUAAAGGGUGAAAAUUCCCUUUUUUUAUAAUAUUAGACGAGAAGACCCUUAGAAUUUUAAAAUAUACACAAUUUUUUUGUUGGGGCGACAGAGUAUACAUAAUAACUUACUUUAUAUUUACAAGACUAUAAUUAUAUAAGAAAAAAUUACCUAAGGGAUAACAGCAUAAUUUUUUAAAGUUUGUGACCUCGAUGUUGGACUAGGGACUAUUAAAGUUAACCAUUUUAAUAGGAAAUUCUGUUCGAAUUUUUUUUACCUACGUGAUCU
Molecule: ribosomal RNA, 438 nt
Filed under: Philomycus carolinianus
Lineage: Eukaryota; Metazoa; Mollusca; Gastropoda; Stylommatophora; Philomycidae
Description: partial 16S ribosomal RNA
Rfam family: Bacterial large subunit ribosomal RNA
Source: RNAcentral